This 477-nucleotide ribosomal RNA is filed under the name uncultured bacterium. RNAcentral's name for it is "bacterial SSU rRNA". It matches the Rfam family "Bacterial small subunit ribosomal RNA", at positions 328 to 793 of the family's 1533-position model. The record is from RNAcentral.
CUCUGUGACUCCGUACGGGAGGCAGCAGUGGGGAAUAUUGCACAAUGGGCGCAAGCCUGAUGCAGCCAUGCCGCGUGUGUGAAGAAGGCCUUCGGGUUGUAAAGCACUUUCAGUUGUGAGGAAGGUGGUGUCGUUAAUAGCGGCAUCAUUUGACGUUAGCAACAGAAGAAGCACCGGCUAACUCCGUGCCAGCAGCCGCGGUAAUACGGAGGGUGCGAGCGUUAAUCGGAAUUACGUGGGACGUAAAGCGACAUGCAGGUGGUUUGUUAAGUCAGAUGUGAAAGCCCCGGGGCUCAACCUCGGAACUGCAUUUGAAACUGGCAGACUAGAGUACUGUAGAGGGGGUAGAAUUUCAGGUGUAGCGGUGAAAUGCGUAGAGAUCUGAAGGAAUACCGGUGGCGAAGGCGGCCCCCUGGACAGAUACUGACACUCAGAUGCGAAAGCGUGGGGAGCAAACAGGAUUAGAUACCCUGGUAG